Molecule: ribosomal RNA, 470 nt
Filed under: uncultured bacterium
Lineage: Bacteria
Description: bacterial SSU rRNA
Rfam family: Bacterial small subunit ribosomal RNA
Source: RNAcentral
AGAGUUUGAUCAUGGCUCAGGAUGAACGCUGGCGGCGUGCUUAACACAUGCAAGUCGAACGGUCGUAGCAAUACGAUAGUGGCGCACGGGUGAGGAACACGUAGCUAACCUGCCCCCAAGUACGGGAUAACUUCCCGAAAGGGAUGCUAAUACCGUAUAAGCUCACGCCGAGUAGGUAGGUGUGAGAAAAGGUUUACUGCUUGGGGAGGGGGCUGCGGCCCAUCAGGUAGUUGGUGAGGUAACGGCUCACCAAGCCGACGACGGUAGGGGGCCUGAGAGGAUGGCCCCCACACUGGGACUGAGACACGGCCCAGACUCCUACGGGAGGCAGCAGUGAGGGAUAUUGCGCAAUGGGGGAAACCCUGACGCAGCGACGCCGCGUGGGUGAUGAAGGCCUUCGGGUCGUAAAACCCUUUUGCCACUGACGAGGAAGGACGGUAGGUGGCGAAUAAGCCUCGGCUAACUACGUG